UACGGGGGGGGCAAGCGUUGUUCGGAAUUACUGGGCGUAAAGGGCUCGUAGGCGGCCAACUAAGUCAGACGUGAAAUCCCCAGGCUUAACCUGGGAACUGCGUCUGAUACUGGAUGGCUUGAAUUCGGGAGAGGGAUGCAGAAUUCCAGGUGUAGCGGUGAAAUGCGUAGAUAUCUGGAGGAAUACCGGUGGCGAAGGCGGCAUCCUGGACCGACAUUGACGCUGAGUGAGCGAAAGCCAGGGGAGCAAACGGG
RNAcentral lists this ribosomal RNA (254 nucleotides) under uncultured bacterium. Its description in RNAcentral is "partial 16S ribosomal RNA". It matches the Rfam family "Bacterial small subunit ribosomal RNA", at positions 524 to 776 of the family's 1533-position model. The record is from RNAcentral.